RNAcentral lists this ribosomal RNA (301 nucleotides) under uncultured bacterium. Its description in RNAcentral is "partial 16S ribosomal RNA". It matches the Rfam family "Bacterial small subunit ribosomal RNA", at positions 509 to 807 of the family's 1533-position model. The record is from RNAcentral.
CAGUCGCCGCGGUAAUACGAAGGUCCCGAGCGUUGUUCGGAAUCACUGGGCGUAAAGGGAGCGUAGGCGGCGUGGUAAGUCGGAUGUGAAAUCCCGGGGCUCAACCCCGGAACUGCAUCCGAUACUGCCAUGCUAGAGGAUUGGAGAGGUAGCUGGAAUUCUUGGUGUAGCAGUGAAAUGCGUGGAGAUCAAGAGGAACACUCGUGGCGAAAGCGAGCUACUGGACAAUAACUGACGCUGAGGCUCGAAGGCCAGGGUAGCGAAAGGGAUUAGAUACCCCAGUAGUCCCUGUCUCUUAUAC